This 455-nucleotide ribosomal RNA is filed under the name uncultured bacterium. RNAcentral's name for it is "bacterial SSU rRNA". It matches the Rfam family "Bacterial small subunit ribosomal RNA", at positions 28 to 521 of the family's 1533-position model. The record is from RNAcentral.
GAUGAACGCUGGCGGCGUGCCUAAUACAUGCAAGUCGAGCGGUAAGGCCACUUCGGUGGUACACGAGCGGCGGACGGCUGAGUAACACGUAGGAACGUACCCCAAACUGAGGGAUAAGCACCAGAAAUGGUGUCUAAUACCGCAUGUGCUCUUCGGAGUAAAGCUACGGCGGUUUGGGAACGGCCUGCGCAUGAUUAGCUUGUUGGUGAGGUAAUGGCUCACCAAGGCGACGAUCAUUAGCUGGUCUGAGAGGAUGAUCAGCCAGACUGGGACUGAGAACGGCCCAGACUCCUACGGGAGGCAGCAGUAGGGAAUUUUCCACAAUGGACGAAAGUCUGAUGGAGCAACGCCGCGUGCAGGAUGAAGGCUUUCGGGUCGUAAACUGCUUUAUCUGUGAAGAUUAUGACGGUAGCAGAUGAAUAAGGAUCGGCUAACUCCGUGCCAGCAGCCGCGGU